UGCCAGCCGCCGCGGUAAUACGAAGGUCCCAAGCGUUGUCCGGAAUCAUUGGGCGUAAAGCGCACGUAGGCGGGGUCGUAUGUCGAUUGUGAAAGCCCAGGGCUCAACCUUGGAAUUGCAGUCGAAACUGCGACUCUUGAAUACUUGAGAGGGUGGGGGAAUUCCUGGUGGAGCAGUGAAAUGCGUAGAUAUCAGGAGGAACAUCGGUGGCGAAGGCGCCUACCUGGCAGUGUAUUGACGCUGAGGUACGAAAGUGUGGGGAGCAAACAGGAUUAGAUA
RNAcentral lists this ribosomal RNA (279 nucleotides) under uncultured bacterium. RNAcentral describes it as "partial 16S ribosomal RNA". It matches the Rfam family "Bacterial small subunit ribosomal RNA", at positions 506 to 784 of the family's 1533-position model. The record is from RNAcentral.